This 253-nucleotide ribosomal RNA is filed under the name uncultured bacterium. Its description in RNAcentral is "partial 16S ribosomal RNA". It matches the Rfam family "Bacterial small subunit ribosomal RNA", at positions 524 to 776 of the family's 1533-position model. The record is from RNAcentral.
UACGGAGGGAGCUAGCGUUGUUCGGAAUUACUGGGCGUAAAGCGCACGUAGGUGGCCAACUAAGUCGGACGUGAAAUCCCUCAGCUUAACUGGGGAACUGCAUCCGAUACUGGGUGGCUUGAGUUUGGGAGAGGGAUGCGGAAUUCCAGGUGUAGCGGUGAAAUGCGUAGAUAUCUGGAGGAACACCGGUGGCGAAGGCGGCAUCCUGGACCAACACUGACACUGAGGAGCGAAAGCCAGGGGAGCAAACGGG